This 1142-nucleotide long non-coding RNA is filed under the name Taeniopygia guttata (zebra finch). Its description in RNAcentral is "lncRNA (ENSTGUG00000019087.1)". The record is from RNAcentral. Lineage: Eukaryota; Metazoa; Chordata; Aves; Passeriformes; Estrildidae.
UCUGUCCCCCCAUGCAGCUCUCAAUGACCCUGAUGGUCCCUCUCCAAGGCCCUCUCCAAGCUCCAUGGGCUCUCUGCUCCCUCAGUCCCUCUCAACAGGCCUUGGGACCACCACAGCAGAGGCAGCUGCCAGCGGUUCUCCUUCAGCCACUCCCAGCAUGGCCACGCCUUUGUCCCUCAUGGGCACCAGUGGAGCAAAGCCAGACAGGGCCCCUCGGGCUGCUGCUGCUGCACCAUCACCUUCCAUCGCUGCGUUUGGCAUCGGGACUGUGCCAGCUACCCAUCCAUCCUCCUUGGUUAGCAGCACUCCAGUUAGUGAAGCAGGGAUGGGAUCAGCAUCACUAGCCAGUGGCAGUGCCACCACAAUUCCGGGGGACACCGAAGCCACCCAGCCUGUGCCUGAUGCACAUCCCAGCCACAGCCAGCCAGGUCCCGCAGCAGGCUCAACAACCCCAGGAAUUGGUGUCACACCCAGAUCUGCACUAACCCCAGUGCUCUGGGCUGGGCCUCAAAUUGUGGAAGCUCCAGGGACAGAGAUGCCAUCACCCAACACUGCACCAGGCACUGGCAGAGCUGUAUCAGAUACCCCUGGGGGACCCAGAGCAGUCACUGUCCCCAUGGCAUCACAAGCAGAUGUCCCUCCUCUCCUGGAAGGCAGAGCCAAUGUAGGGAUAUCUCUGGAGAUGUCCCCAUCCAGCAUCCCCCAAGAGAUGGCAGCAGUCACGUCCCCACUGUCCCUGGCUGCCCCACUGCAAGCAAUGGGGGCUUCGGGUGACCCCCAGCCCAAUGAUGGUGCCACAGGGCGAGCAAUGGGGACGGGGUUCCUGAAGGGGAGCACGGAGGAGAACCCAGGUGCCAGUGCAGCGGGGUCAGCUCCCAGCCUCACAUUUGUCACUGCCAAGCCAUCACCAGAGCCACCUGGCACUGAGGACAAGCCCACCGCUGGGAUCACCCCGCUGGCUGUUGGCCACACAAACGUGCAGGAGGGUACAGCUGCAUCCUGGAUAGGUGCCACAGGCACCACUGCCCAUGUGGACACCAGCAGCUCUGAGAGUAGCACCAAGGGUGCAGCACCCUCAGCCAGCACCAGCAGCACCCGUGUCCCUGAUUCCAACACCAGUAGCACAUACCUGGCCACCAUGC